Molecule: small nucleolar RNA, 120 nt
Filed under: Mesocricetus auratus (golden hamster)
Lineage: Eukaryota; Metazoa; Chordata; Mammalia; Rodentia; Cricetidae
Description: Small nucleolar RNA SNORA61 (ENSMAUG00000006969.1)
Source: RNAcentral
CACCAGCUUCCUUUCCCAUUGUAUUACAACACUGUUUUAGUAGCUGUAAGAAGGAAAAGCAAUACUCAACCUGGCCAGUCUUAACAAUGCCUAAAAUCUGUUGGCAAAUUUCAAACAGGU